AUUUUUAAAUCCCAAAUAAUAGUUUUUAAUCACAAAAAAAGUUGUAUAGAUAUUAAAAAAUGUUUUGUAAAAUCCAAAAAAUCGAAUUUAUAUACAAAAAUUUUUUUGUAAAAUCCAAAAAAUCGAAUUUAUAUACAAAAUUUUUUUUGUAAAAUCCAAAAAAUCGAAUUUAUAUACAAAAUUUUUUUUGUAAAAUCCAAAAAAUCGAAUUUAUAUAGAAAAAUCGUUUUGUAAAAUACAAAAAUCGAUUUUAUAUACUAAAAUCGAUUUUCUAAAUACAAAAAAAUAAAAAAAUAAUAAAAAAAUUAUAAAUCAAUUCAACAAAACAAAUUAUUCAACCAAAUCACAAUUCUAAACAUAUUAUACAACCAAAAAUCACAAUCCUAACCAAUCACCUUAACAAAAAUCUAUCAAAAC
Molecule: long non-coding RNA, 417 nt
Filed under: Brassica napus (rape)
Lineage: Eukaryota; Viridiplantae; Streptophyta; Magnoliopsida; Brassicales; Brassicaceae
Description: long non-coding RNA (BNAP_LNC026662)
Source: RNAcentral